GCCAGCGUGGUGUAACUGGAAGCACAGGUGACCUGUAAUCAUCAGGUCGGGGUUCAAGUCCCCGCGCUGGCU
Molecule: transfer RNA, 72 nt
Filed under: bacterium
Lineage: Bacteria
Also listed under: 3 other names
Description: tRNA-Thr
Rfam family: tRNA
About the family: Transfer RNA (tRNA) molecules are approximately 80 nucleotides in length.
Source: RNAcentral